RNAcentral lists this ribosomal RNA (111 nucleotides) under uncultured bacterium. RNAcentral's name for it is "partial 16S ribosomal RNA". It matches the Rfam family "Bacterial small subunit ribosomal RNA", at positions 1373 to 1482 of the family's 1533-position model. The record is from RNAcentral.
CCCGGGCCUUGUACACACCGCCCGUCACACCACGAAAGCGAGCAACACCCGAAGCCGGUGGCCUAACUGCAAGGAGGGAGCCGUCGAAGGUGGGGGCCCGUGAUUGGGGUG